Felis catus (domestic cat) is the source of this 6270-nucleotide long non-coding RNA. RefSeq lists it as uncharacterized. NCBI's taxonomy places the organism in Eukaryota, Metazoa, Chordata, Mammalia, Carnivora, Felidae. The record is from RefSeq and is a predicted model, not a curated record. The transcript is spliced from 3 exons.
GUCUCCGGGUCACCGAACCUGUCGCAGGUUUUAGCCUGAGCGACUCCGCCAGCAGAUGGGUCACAUCCGUUCGGAGGCUGCAGACCCCGCGCACGGGGGGGGGGGGGGGUGCUGGUGCGGGCCCGGGGCCGUUCCCGUGCACGGUUAGUGCCUGGGACCGGGGCGGAAGCCCCCGGGGAGGACCAGGGGAGCGGGCGGGGCGCAGCUGCGCGCGUUCGGGCCGAGUGACUCGGCGGCGGCGGCGGGAAGCAAAGGUAGGAGCCCUCCUCCAUCCCGCGCCCGGGGAUGGGCUCCGUCCAAGGGCUGGCCCAGCGUCGGCCGCCCGGGGUGGGCCUGCGCACAAUCCGCGUGGAAGAGGAGGAGUGGAAUUUCCACCUGGCACGUGCGUGGAUGCGUAGCCUUGACGCUCUAGACGCCGAAGCCUGCGCUGAGAAACGGUGCGCGUAGGCGGGUUUGGAGGCCGGCGGCGCCCUGCCUUUCCCGGUUUCAAAACACCCUUUUGAUGAAGGCAGCGACUGGGGAGGCUAGGUUAGGGAGGAAGGGGCAGGGAGUUCGCACCUGUGUUUUUUGGCCGGAGAAAUUCCAACACCGGACAAGCCAGUUCUGCUCCUUCUCCUUAACGUGCCCAGUGUGACUUUGGUAAGCUUCCUUCCACAGAUCGGCCUUGUUUUGUGCGAUAGACGGGUUCCUAGAAAGCUAUGCAAAACAAUGUUCCUUUAUGGAAUCUGAUGGAAGUAGCUUACCACAGGGCAUAUUGAUCCCAGGUAACACGGGUUUAUAUACCCUUAAUUAAAUAUGGAUAAUUAUAUGUUCCAUCUGCCUCAUGUUAUAUAGAAGUACCGAUGAGAUAAUCUUUUCUAAGUGAUACUGAGACUUGUGAGCUGGUUACUUCAAGGCUAUAUAGUGGGGGCUGGGGGGCUUACUGUUUUCUCUUUACAUCUCUACCCCCUUAUUUCCAGAAGAGGGAAUAAAGGACAAACCCUUUUACUUAGAUCAGUUUAACGUUUAUCCGCCACUAUUCUGAAGCUUGGGCUUCAAUUAAUAUAAGUAGAGUAAAAUUAAUACCCUAAAGCUAGCUGAUACGCUUAACAAUCAGAAAACGUUGCAAUUUCUAAAAAUUUUAUUUCCUCUAGUAAUUUAACCCAUAUGAUGUACAUGUGUAUGCGUGUAUAAGCAGCUAGAUAUCUUUAUAAGAAAAAGUGUGUUAUCCGUUGUGCUAAGUCUAUACUUUUAUUGCUCCUCGCUAAACCCGUUUUAAAUGAAAAAAAAAAGUGACUUCUAAAGAUCUGUGAAAUAAGCAACAGGAACAAAAACAUUGCAUGUUUUUGUGAUUUCAUAAGCACACUGAAAAACCGAAAGCAAUAAUCUGUACUGCUGGUUAAGCGUGAGGUUGCCAUUAUCAGCAGUCAGUAAUAAAAACGCAGUUAAGUGCAGGUGACCCAAUCCACAUUCUCUCAGUAUGAUACCUGGGAAAUGACUCUUUUGAACGGAUUUUUCUGGCUUUCUUUGUUAUUUAUCUUUCUUACAAAAGUAGAAAACAGGUAUAAAAAAUUGCAUUUAGGAAAGUAAAUUGCAUAAAGGAAACUUAAAUGCGAUCACAGCAUCCUCAUAGAAGGCGAGCAAAAAAUGUUGUCAGUAAUAAGGACCACUUGUGCUGGACCAGUCAUCCCUCAGCCUCUCUUGUAGAGGACAGUCUUCCAGAGAUGUCUGCAAGCAUCACCCAGGGCUACAAGUCUCCUGAGUCCCUCAUCACCAUUCCUUGAAUAUGCAGCACCUUAGAAAAGACCACGGCCUCCAGCCGUACCCCGACGGGGGACCUGACCUCCGAGCCUCGAUCCUAACCUGUACAAUGAGGAAGGAUGGAGUGUGUGUGAGGUUCCUGGAACAGAGUGGUGCUGGUGGUCACCGAAACAAGCAUUCUAAGAGCGGAAUGGUGGAGAAGGAGGAUUUUAGAAUCAGAUCUCGUCGCCGCUCGACCACUGUCUUGCUGUGUGGCCCAUGUAAGGCAUAUGGCACUCUGCUUCGCACACAGCGGAAGAUCGCCAUCCAGCUCGGGGACAAAUGCACCGGAGACAAGUCAGAAGCAAAGGCAGUGCCCAGGGAAGUGGCAGAAUGAGGCACGAAUACAGGAGCCCAGGAAGAGAGAGACGGGCCACCUGGGGAGGCUGAGGACUUUGUCACAGAGGAGGUGGGGCUUGGGCGGGAGCCAGCAGGAUGGGCAGGAGGUAAGCAGACCUUACUGCCUGACAUUGUUACUUAAUUGUUACCCACACUCGUCUUAUCUCCCAGCCAGAUUGCACAGUCUCAGGGGAGAGUGACCUUUCCCUCCAUAACCGGCACAGAGCCGUGCAUACAGUAAGUGACUAAUAAUCUCCCCUGGAAUGAGGUUGUCAAGAGGUUAAUCUGCAAGGAUUGAAAUUGCUAAUGUUGGUAAUGGGACCUCUCUUUAAAAACCUUAAAAAAAUGUGUUAAUUGUCCUGUAAACCUUUCGCUAUCAUCAUGAUAAAGCCGGAGAUUUGUUUCCAGUGCUUAUCUUAAACGAUUGUGUUGUGCUCUGAUGUUGGCGGUGUUCUUAACCUCCACAUGAGCAUUUUUUUAGAAAACAGCUUUUGUCUCCAUCUCAAGAGCCACUUUUAGGGAGGGGGAGGCUGAUUUGCUAGGCACGUCCUAGAGAAACUGGCUGAGGAGUUGUUUUUUUUAAAAAAAAAUUUAAUAAUUAGAUGAGAUCAUUGAAUUUGGAAGCCUGAUAGCUGCGGGCAGUGGACCCUGGACACCAGAUGUAAGCGUGUUGAGACGUGUGUGUGUGUGUGUGUGGUGUCCAUUCAAGCAGAGUACGUGGCUGAUGGACUCCCUGUCCUGCCUACCUUGCUGGACUCAGGGAACAGAGGGGCGAUGGGGCGGGGAGCAAGGAAGGACCUGGGGAAGCUUGCAUGGGGAGAUCCGGGGUGUGUCUUCUUCCUCCGUUUUCACUUGAACUAGCCACUUCUGUUUCAUUAUCGCUAAGCACCUUGGUUUCAGUGUUUUCCAAAGAGGAAAUGGAAGCAAACCCAGCACCCAGAUACAGUGACCACAACACUCUCCCACACAUCUGCCCUCGCGUGGCCGGGGUGUUUGGCCGGUUCGUAAACACGCCAUGGUGAUGACCUAAUAAUAACAGAAGUGUCACGACCUGGCAGGCGGCAGGGGACAUGAAGACGUUUGGCCUGAAAUCUUCUGACGUGUCCAAGCCUCACACUCGGCUUCUGCUUUUCACCCAGUUCCCCAGCACCCAGCGGAACGGGACCCGGGAGGCGCUGUGACUAGGGAUCUGGUAUGAAUGAAUCACGGCAGAGACUGCCAACCGAGAGGGAGAUUUACGGUCUCCAGCCUUAAGUUCUCCAAGUUUCAGACGUGGACAGGGGCUAAAAAGUCUCUCCUGACGUGGCCCGGGCUGCAGGCCCAGGCAGACGUCGUCACUCUCUCUGUGCUGCUGCUAGGGAACCGCAGCGACUUCUCAAUGCCGUUUAAUCCGUCCUCUUGUUGUGAUCCUUUGUGUUGCACCGAGAUUCUAAAAUUAAGACUGGAAACCGAGAAGAAUACCUUCGGGGCCCUCCAGCCGCCACCACGUUUGCGCACAAAGUACGGACUGACAUUUGAAAUCCUUUACUUUCUAAUUCCCAGCCAGGGGCCCACCCUUAUCACCACGGCGGCGGCCGGACCGUGUCUGAGCCCCAACCCUGCACGCGGCUCUGCUCCGUGUCUUCCCUGUCCCCCAGUGCCCAACGCCCUUUCUACCUGUGGCGUCCGCUUGGGCUCAGGGCCCUCCAGUGCCCCUCCUGCCUGAAGCUGUUGCUCAGCAGUUUCCUUCCAGAAAGGCCCACACGUAGUGCUUUAUGCCAGACGUGUUUGGUGAGAUGGACACUUUUGACCGGUCUAGAUCUGCAGUCAGUUGGUCAGCGCGACGUCUUAAACUCGCUUUGCUGCACUAAGGGGAUUUGUUUCAAAUAUAGACGCCUGGGUCCUACCCCCAUGGGUUCUGAUUCACGGAUUCCUGGAUGGAGCCCAGUGAUUUGUGUUUCCAUGUAGAGCUUCCAGUGCUGGGGGUAGAAAGGUCCUCCUUGGAGAAACACAAACCUAAGAUGUACCAACCUGCCCCUGCCUCCUCUCUCCUGAUCCUUUCCUAUUUAGCCCUCUCUCGGUGCCGGCUUCAAUGAGAUCCCUAUGUGAUGGUUAAUUUUAUGUGACAGCGUCACUGGGCUGCACUACCCAGAUAGGUGAUCAACAUUAUUCUGAAUGUUUCUGUGAAGGUGUCUGGGAUGAGAUUAAUACUCAAACUGGUAGACUUUGAGGAAAGCAGAUUGCCUUCCAUAGCGUGGGUGGGCCUCAUCUAAUCAGUUGCCGGCAUGCAUAGAACAAAAGCCUGACCUCUCCUGAGUGUGAGGGAAUUCUGUUGGAAGAUGGCCUUUGGAUUUCAUCUGUAACAUUUGCUCUCCCCUGGGUUUCCAGUCUGCCAGCCCACAGUGCAGACUUUGGACUUGUCAACCUCCUUAAUCUUGGAAACCAAUUUCUUAAAAUCUUUCUCUCUCCAUGUACACACACACACACACACACACACACACACACACACACACAUUUUUCUCAUUUUUCUUAUUGGUUCUGUUUCUCUGCUCUCUGAUACACCCUGUGAGAAUUUGAACUCCACUCCUUCUCACUGCAAAGUAUAUAUAGUCAACCCCCAUGCCAGAAUCUCCCAGAACAAGGCCUAAACCUAUCUGAACAACCCAGAACCCCUUAAAAAUGCAUGUUCCCAGUCUUCCUCCCGAGACUCUGACCCAGCAGAGCCUGGUGGGCCAUGAAGUCUGCACUUACAGAAUUCUUGGUUAUAUUUCGGUAUGUGACUCUAAUUCGUUUCAGCAUGUGAGUUGCAAUAGGGUAGAGCACAGUGAAAGGCACGGAAGUACGUAAGAACCAAUCCGUCUAGCGAGGAGUCUACAAUUCAAGUGAGGACUCCCAUUGCGCAGUGUUUUGGAGUGACAAGGACCACCAUGACCCGUUGCAUGGGGUUGAACACGGUCACCCUUAAAUUCACGUCCUUACCAGAACCUCAGAGUAUGACCCUGUGAGAAAUAGGAUUGUUACCAAUGUAACUAAUUAAAGUGAGGUCCUACUGGAGCAGGGUGGGCCCUUAAUCCGUUAUGACUGGCGUCCUUAUGAGAAGAGACCACAGAGACAGACAGAAGACAGCCACGUGGUGGGAAGCCGAGUUGCUGGCUGCCACCAGAAUCCAUGACAGACAUGGAACAGAUUCUUCCUCUGAGCCCCAAGAAGGAAGCAACUUUGCUGACCCCUCGAUUCUGGACUUCUGGCCAUCAGAAGUGUGAGAGAAUAAAUUGUUGUCUUAAGCCCUGCUAUUUGUGGUACUUGGGGAUUAUGGAGGCCCUGGGAUACUCCUACACCCAGCUGCCUAUAAACAACUAGAAAAUCGGUCAGAAUAUCUUGAACCACUGUUUGCAGGCACUGGAUGACUGGCAGCACAGGUCUGUGACCCAUGGGGGGAGGCAAAAAACAGGGUGGGACAGCACCCUUGUGAACACCCAAUGCAGUCAAGGCUAUGCUGGAAAGUUCUGUGUUUGCAGGGCCUCUUGGGUCCCCACUGGGUGACAUUUCCCGUGAGGACCAGCAGCUGGUUAUCCAGACCUCUGUAUUCCCAGCUUGAGGCCACACAAUGUUGUUCAGACUGGGGCCUGAGUAAAUCAUUGAGGAAUACUCUUAGACUGUGUUUCCUAAGCCAUCCUGCGGUUGAAGGUUGGGGUCCAUGACCGUGGUUCUGACCCUGGCUGGACAUUAGAAUCACCUGAGGAAUUUUCUCAGCCUGUGGAUGCUGGGGACCUGCCCCAGACCAGUUAAUCUCAGAUGUAGAAGAGGGGUGGGAUCCAAGCAUUAAUGUGUUUAAGACGUCCCCAGGUAGUUCUGCCCUGCAGCCAAAGGGAAGACCCAUUGAUCUAUAUUUUAACUUUCCAAACUUCUUUUAAUAAUCCUGCUCAAACCUAAUGUAAACUGAUUUUUUCCCCCACAGGUGACUUAUGACUUAUUCCUCCACUCUACUAGAAGUGCAUUCUGCCCUGAAUUAUCCCAAGCAGGUGGCAUUUUGUUUCAUGGCUAUGGUCAUGUUGGUGUCCUCCCACCCAGACCAGGCACUUUUUGCUUUUGCUUUCGAAUUCUGUGAUUAGUUUAAGCAAAACUACUCUAAUCAGAUCGGAAUUGUCAAGUAAACCAUUGUCAGAAAGAUCU